This 363-nucleotide ribosomal RNA is filed under the name uncultured bacterium. RNAcentral's name for it is "bacterial SSU rRNA". It matches the Rfam family "Bacterial small subunit ribosomal RNA", at positions 1141 to 1502 of the family's 1533-position model. The record is from RNAcentral.
UAGGGAGACUGCCGGUGACAAACCGGAGGAGGGUGGGGAUGACGUCAAGUCCUCAUGGCCCUUAUGGGUAGGGCUUCACACGUCAUACAAUGGUGCAUACAGAGGGUUGCCAACCCGCGAGGGGGAGCUAAUCUCAGAAAAUGCAUCGUAGUCCGGAUCGUAGUCUACGAACUCGACUACGUGAAGCUGGAAUCGCUAGUAAUCGCGGAUCAGAAUGUCGCGGUGAAUACGUUCCCGGGUCUUGUACACACCGCCCGUCACACCAUGGGAGUGGGUUUUGCCAGAAGCCGUUAGCCUAACCGCAAGGAGGGCGACGACCACGGCAGGGUUCAUGACUGGGGUGAAGUCGUAACAAGGUAACCA